This 223-nucleotide unclassified non-coding RNA is filed under the name plant metagenome. RNAcentral's name for it is "partial contains small subunit ribosomal RNA, internal transcribed spacer 1, and 5.8S ribosomal RNA". The record is from RNAcentral.
GCUCCGUUGGUGAACCAGCGGAGGGAUCAUUACCUAGUUAUCAACUCCCAAACCCCUGUGAACAUACCUAACGUUGCUUCGGCGGCACCGCCACGGCGCCCUCGGGGUCCCGGAACCAGGCGCCCGCCGGAGCACCCAAACCCUUGUUUAAAGCAUAGAGGCAUAUUUUGAGUCUCACAAGAAAAAUGAAUCAAAACUUUCAACAACGGAUCUCUUGGCUCUG